Molecule: ribosomal RNA, 653 nt
Filed under: uncultured fungus
Lineage: Eukaryota; Fungi
Description: eukaryotic LSU rRNA
Rfam family: 5.8S ribosomal RNA (bases 255-408)
Source: RNAcentral
AAGGAUCAUUAUUGAAUACGAAUUGGAAUUGAUGCUGGCCUUCGGGCAUGUGCUCGCUUCAAGUCUAUUUAUCUUCUCUUGUGCACCUCUUGUAGUCCUUUGAAAAAAGUGGACCCCUCGCAGCAAUGCGGUAUGGGGGAUUUGAGCCUAACCCGCUCUUCCCCUGCUUGCUUUUCUUCAAGGCUAUGUUUUCAUAUACACUAUAAAGUUACAGAAUGUCUUUUAACGGCUGCUUGCAGUCGUUAAACCUAUACAACUUUCAGCAACGGAUCUCUUGGCUCUCCCAUCGAUGAAGAACGCAGCGAAAUGCGAUAAGUAAUGUGAAUUGCAGAAUUCAGUGAAUCAUCGAAUCUUUGAACGCACCUUGCGCUCCUUGGUAUUCCGAGGAGCAUGCCUGUUUGAGUGUCAUGAAAUUCUCAACUUAUCUAGUUUUCUAACUAGCUAAGCUUGGAUCAUGGAAGUUGCUGGCUCAUUUCGAAUCAGCUCUUCUUAAAUGUAUUAGCGAAGACUUUUGCUGACCAUCAUUGGUAUGAUAAUUAUCUAUAUCAUUGGUAACCAGUUCCCUUCUAUGGGGAGGUCUUGCUUCUAAUCGUCGUUUCGACAACUUGACACCUUUGACCUCAAAUCACGGUAGGACUACCCGCUGAACUUAA